AGGGAUUACCCGUGUCAAUUCCUAGUUCAAAUUGUUCUGUAACUUUCAAUCUUAAGGUGUUUAUUAGAUAUGGAUACAUAAUCGUUCAAAAUCAUGAACCAGGAUUUUGUCAAACUUGAUUGCUUUGAUGGAAACAAUUUCAGUCGUAGGAAAGAUAAACUGAAAUUCCUUCUGACAGGUCUAAAGAUAACAUAUGUACUGGACCCUAACGUUCAGUCUAUUCCAG
Molecule: long non-coding RNA, 226 nt
Filed under: Panax ginseng (ginseng)
Lineage: Eukaryota; Viridiplantae; Streptophyta; Magnoliopsida; Apiales; Araliaceae
Description: long non-coding RNA (PGIN_LNC005224)
Source: RNAcentral